RNAcentral lists this ribosomal RNA (264 nucleotides) under uncultured bacterium. Its description in RNAcentral is "partial 16S ribosomal RNA". It matches the Rfam family "Bacterial small subunit ribosomal RNA", at positions 793 to 1055 of the family's 1533-position model. The record is from RNAcentral.
GUCCUAGCCGUAAACGAUGACCACUAGGUGUGGGAGGUAUCGACCCCUUCCGUGCCGUCGCAAACGCAGUAAGUGGUCCGCCUGGGGAGUACGGUCGCAAGAUUAAAAACUCAAAAGGAAUUGACGGGGACCCGCACAAGCAGCGGAGCGUGUGGUUUAAUUCGAUGCAACGCGAAGAACCUUACCAAGUCUUGACAUGCAGAUGCACCAGCGGUAAUGCGCUGUCCCUUCGGGGCGUUUGCACAGGUGCUGCAUGGCUGUCGU